Corticium candelabrum is the source of this 593-nucleotide long non-coding RNA. RefSeq lists it as uncharacterized. The record is from RefSeq and is a predicted model, not a curated record. NCBI's taxonomy places the organism in Eukaryota, Metazoa, Porifera, Homoscleromorpha, Homosclerophorida, Plakinidae. The transcript has 4 exons.
UGCCUAGUACCUAACAGGCAAUAGUGUAUCACUUUCAGAAAGCGUGUACGAUUACGGGGCAGACAUUCGAACAUUUACGAUAAGAUCUACAGUUUCAAACAGACUCGUGAGCAGGAAUUCUUGAUUUUGCUGAGCAAGACGAGAGCACUACUACGACAACAAAACCGAUUCUGAUUUACUACAACUACUAUCUCACUUUUCCACUGAACAGAAAGAUAUCCCUACGCUGCGCUGCUAGCAAAAUUCAAGUGGAAGCUAACAGUUGUAUAGUUCAAGUCGACCAGAUGAACAAAGACUACUUGAAAGCGUACGAAACGAUUAAACGCUGUUGCCGUUGUGGAAAGAAAACGCCACCGACGACGGUCGUCUAUUAUCCAUGCUAUUGCAAGAUUUGUGGUGAUUGUGCAAACAUAGACGAUAAACAUGGAACCGUGGGUAUCUGCCCGAUUUGUGGACAAAAAUCAAAGCGAAUGGUCUAGAACUUUUGUGCUGAUUUGCAAAAACAUGGAACUCACCGAGUGACGGACGGGUCUUUGUAUACACGAUUGUUUGUAACGAACUUUUUUGAUUGCCAGCAACACGUGCACUUUAUA